Molecule: long non-coding RNA, 519 nt
Filed under: Salmo salar (Atlantic salmon)
Lineage: Eukaryota; Metazoa; Chordata; Actinopteri; Salmoniformes; Salmonidae
Description: lncRNA (ENSSSAG00000117000.1)
Source: RNAcentral
CUCUAGUGGUGUGGGGGCUGUGCUUUGGCAAAGUGGGUGGGGUUAUAUCCUGCCUGUUUGGCCCUGUCCGGGGGUAUCAUCGGAUGGGGCCACAGUGUCUUCUGAUCCCUCCUGUCUCAGCCUCCAGUAUUUAUGCUGCAGUAGUUUAUGUGUCGGGGGGCUAGGGACCUGAGCCCUAGGACCAUGCCUCAGGACUACCUGGUAUGAUGACUCCUUGCUGUCCCCAGUCCACCUGGCCGUGCUGCUGCUCCAGUUUCAACUGUUCUGCCUGCGGCUAUGGAACCCUGACCUGUUAACCGGACGUGCUUGUUGCACCCUCGACAACUACUAUGAUUAUUAUUAUUUGACCAUGCUGGUCAUUUAUGAACAUUUUAACAUUUUGACCAUGUUCUGUUAUAAUAUCCACCCUGCACAGCCAGAAGAGGACUGGCCACCCCUCAUAGCCUGGUUCCUCUCUAGGUUUCUCCCUAGAAAGGCCAAAAACCUUGGAAGAAACCUAGAGAGGAACCAGGCUAUGAG